RNAcentral lists this transfer RNA (73 nucleotides) under Ixodes scapularis (black-legged tick). RNAcentral describes it as "tRNA-Ser". It matches the Rfam family "tRNA". Rfam says of the family: Transfer RNA (tRNA) molecules are approximately 80 nucleotides in length. Lineage: Eukaryota; Metazoa; Arthropoda; Arachnida; Ixodida; Ixodidae. The record is from RNAcentral.
UUCUGGUUAGCUCAUUUGGUAGAGCGCUCCACUGGAAAUGGAAAGGCACCUGGUUCGGUACUAGGACCAUGUG